Molecule: transfer RNA, 72 nt
Filed under: Candidatus Woesebacteria bacterium
Lineage: Bacteria; Candidatus Woeseibacteriota
Description: tRNA-Lys
Rfam family: tRNA
About the family: Transfer RNA (tRNA) molecules are approximately 80 nucleotides in length. Their secondary structure includes four short double-helical elements and three loops (D, anti-codon, and T loops).
Source: RNAcentral
GCAUCCGUAGCUCAGUGGUAGAGCAAUCGCCUCUUAAGCGAUGGGUCGUGGGUUCGAAACCCACCGGGUGCA